Molecule: ribosomal RNA, 446 nt
Filed under: uncultured bacterium
Lineage: Bacteria
Description: bacterial SSU rRNA
Rfam family: Bacterial small subunit ribosomal RNA
Source: RNAcentral
CGCUGGCGGCGUGCCUAACACAUGCAAGUCGAGCGAUUCUCUUCGGAGAAGAGCGGCGGACGGGUGAGUAACGCGUGGGUAACCCGCCCUGUACACACGGAUAACAUACCGAAAGGUAUGCUAAUACGAGAUAAUAUGCUUUUAUCGCAUGGUAGAAGUAUCAAAGCUUUUGCGGUACAGGAUGGACCCGCGUCUGAUUAGCUAGUUGGUAAGGUAACGGCUUACCAAGGCGACGAUCAGUAGCCGACCUGAGAGGGUGAUCGGCCACAUUGGAACUGAGACACGGUCCAAACUCCUACGGGAGGCAGCAGUGGGGAAUAUUGCACAAUGGGCGAAAGCCUGAUGCAGCAACGCCGCGUGAGCGAUGAAGGCCUUCGGGUCGUAAAGCUCUGUCCUCAAGGAAGAUAAUGACGGUACUUGAGGAGGAAGCCCCGGCUAACUACGUG